Theobroma cacao (cacao) is the source of this 232-nucleotide non-coding RNA. The record is from RefSeq and is a predicted model, not a curated record. NCBI's taxonomy places the organism in Eukaryota, Viridiplantae, Streptophyta, Magnoliopsida, Malvales, Malvaceae.
GAUAAUGAUCAACCUAGGGUGCAAUCAUCGACACUUAUGCUUCAUCGCAAAUAGGUGGUGAGCCCUCUUGUAAGGGUAAGGAUAUCAUACCCCGAGGACCAGGAGUAGGAGUACUCCCGUUAUAGUUCAGAGCAAUCUGUAGACAGUCGAUUUUGUCGAGGGUUUGUUUUUGGAUUUGCACCCUUAGAAAUCGUUGGUCUACAGUCCCAUUUAUUUUUGUUAUUUUGGGGCU